GUGGGGAAUUGUUCGCAAUGGGCGCAAGCCUGACGACGCAACGCCGCGUGGAGGAUGAAGAUUUUCGGAUCGUAAACUCCUUUCGAUCGAGACGAACUCCUUCGGGGUGAAUAAUCCCGGAGGUUGACGGUACCGAGAGAAGAAGCCCCGGCUAACUCCGUGCCAGCAGCCGCGGUAAUACGGGGGGGGCAAGCGUUGUUCGGAAUUACUGGGCGUAAAGGGCUCGUAGGUGGCCAACUAAGUCGGACGUGAAAUCCCUCGGCUUAACCGGGGAACUGCGUCCGAUACUGGUUGGCUUGAGUUUGGGAGAGGGAUGCGGAAUUCCAGGUGUAGCGGUGAAAUGCGUAGAUAUCUGGAGGAACACCGGUGGCGAAGGCGGCAUCCUGGACCAAUACUGACGCUGAGGAGCGAAAGCCAGGGGAGCAAACGGGAUUAGAUACCCGGGUAGUCC
This 451-nucleotide ribosomal RNA is filed under the name uncultured bacterium. RNAcentral's name for it is "bacterial SSU rRNA". It matches the Rfam family "Bacterial small subunit ribosomal RNA", at positions 354 to 796 of the family's 1533-position model. The record is from RNAcentral.